GACGAACGCUGGCGGCGUGCUUAACACAUGCAAGUCACGGGGGCCCGCAAGGGUAACCGGCGAACGGGUGCGUAACACGUGAGCAACCUGCCGAUCUGAGGGGGAUAGCCGGCCCAACGGCCGGGUAAUACCGCAUACGUCCUUUUGGUCUCAUGACCGAGAGAAGAAACCUCCGGGGCAGAUCGAGGGGCUCGCGGCCUAUCAGCUAGUUGGCGGGGUAACGGCCCACCAAGGCGGUGACGGGUAGCUGGUCGAGAGGAUGGCCAGCCACAUUGGGACUGAGAGACGGCCCAGACUCCUACGGGAGGCAGCAGUGGGGAAGUCUUGCGCAAUGGCCUAACGGCUGACGCAGCGACGCCGCGUGUGGGAGGACGCCUCGGUGU
This 383-nucleotide ribosomal RNA is filed under the name uncultured bacterium. Its description in RNAcentral is "bacterial SSU rRNA". It matches the Rfam family "Bacterial small subunit ribosomal RNA", at positions 28 to 426 of the family's 1533-position model. The record is from RNAcentral.